This 698-nucleotide long non-coding RNA is filed under the name Haliotis rufescens (red abalone). Its description in RNAcentral is "uncharacterized LOC125381168, transcript variant X1". Lineage: Eukaryota; Metazoa; Mollusca; Gastropoda; Lepetellida; Haliotidae. The record is from RNAcentral.
UCAUGUGGAGUGACUAAAUUUUACAAGGAGCGAUAUGACUCUUCGCCGACAAACAAAUCGUCAAUCGGAAAGUCCUUGACAUUGCUGUUCGUAAGGAAGGCUGAAAACACUGAUAAAGCCAACAGCGCACAGUCAUGAAUAACCGUGGUGUGUUGCCUGGGACGAAUGACUCUGGAAAGCCACAGGUGCAUCCUCUCUACAACUCACACAACAUAAAGCUGUACUCACACUUCAUACCAGUGUAUGUCCAGCACCCAUGGCCGACUAAUCUGGAGCUGGUUGAACCGGAACCGAGCCAGGUCUCGACAUCUCGUACGAGUUUGCACGGUUCAAUCCAACAGACAAAGGUUGUUGCACAUGUUCGAAACAGCUCUGUUCCUCGAGAAAAACCAAGAGAUCACACACAGAGGAAUGAUUGUCCGCCUCCUGCAGCACAUGGGGUAUUGCAUUGCCAGGACGAACAGGGAACUGCUGAGACAGCACUGGGGCUGAUAGCUAGUGCUUCUGAUGACGUUACGUCGCAACCUGAAACAAAUACCAAACAAGAGUGUGAACGUUUAAAGGACUUCCAGACACCGUGCAUUAAUAAAGGACAAGAUAUGGACACAGAGAGAUCUUCGAAGACAGAGCGGCCAUUGAAUAGAAAACAAGACAAACAGGCUAUGGUGCCAAAAACAGGCCGCAUGUCGAUACCCUUG